GUUUUGUCUCCAUGCCUUGUUGCCCCUGUUGUCUGCAUAUCUGCUCACCACACCCUGCUUAUUCCUGUGGCUGAGCACAAGAAAGCAAGACUUCAGCAUCUUCUCGAUGUGUAUAUUACAUUGCCAAUGCAGUAAGGAUGUCUCUAUUUAACUGGGGAAAAUUUUAAAAAA
Molecule: long non-coding RNA, 171 nt
Organism: Monopterus albus (swamp eel)
Lineage: Eukaryota; Metazoa; Chordata; Actinopteri; Synbranchiformes; Synbranchidae
Exons: 2
Source: RefSeq, a predicted model, not a curated record